UACAGAGGGUGCGAGCGUUGUCCGGAAUCACUGGGCGUAAAGGGCGCGUAGGUGGCCCGACAAGUCUGUGGUGAAAGCUCGACGCUCAACGUCGAGUCGGCCAUAGAUACUGUUGGGCUGGAGCACUGUAGAGGCUCAUGGAAUUCCGGGUGUAGCGGUGAAAUGCGCAGAUAUCAGGAGGAACACCAAUGGCGAAGGCAGAUCUCUGGGCCGUAACUGACGCUGAGGAGCGAAAGCAUGGGGAGCGAACAGG
This 253-nucleotide ribosomal RNA is filed under the name uncultured bacterium. RNAcentral describes it as "partial 16S ribosomal RNA". It matches the Rfam family "Bacterial small subunit ribosomal RNA", at positions 524 to 776 of the family's 1533-position model. The record is from RNAcentral.